UACAGGGGGUGCAAACGUUGCUCGGAAUUAUUGGGCGUAAAGCGCGCGUAGGCGGCCACUUAAGUCGGAUGUGAAAGCCCCUGGCUCAACUGGGGAAGUGCACCCGAAACUGAAUGGCUUGAAUGCAAAAGAGGGUCGCGGAAUUCCCGGUGUAGAGGUGAAAUUCGUAGAUAUCGGGAGGAACACCGGUGGCGAAGGCGGCGACCUGGGUUGACAUUGACGCUGAGACGCGAAAGCGUGGGGAGCAAACAGG
Molecule: ribosomal RNA, 253 nt
Filed under: uncultured bacterium
Lineage: Bacteria
Description: partial 16S ribosomal RNA
Rfam family: Bacterial small subunit ribosomal RNA
Source: RNAcentral